CAAGGAAUUUUGCGCAAUGGACGAAAGUCUGACGCAGCAACGCCGCGUGGGGGAUGAAGGCCCUCGGGUUGUAAACCCCUUUUGCGAGGGAAGAAGAUCUGACGGUACCUCGCGAAUAAGCCACGGCUAACUACGUGCCAGCAGCCGCGGUAAUACGUAGGUGGCAAGCGUUGUCCGGAUUUACUGGGCGUAAAGCGCGCGCAGGCGGACUGGUCAGUCUGGGGUGAAAUCUCACGGCUCAACCGUGAGUGGUCCCUGGAUACUGCCAGCCUUGAGGUGUCUAGAGGAGAGCGGAAUUCCCGGUGUAGUGGUGGAAUGCGUAGAUAUCGGGAAGAACACCAGUGGCGAAAGCGGCUCUCUGGGGACCACCUGACGCUGAGGCGCGAAAGCGUGGGGAGCGAACCGGAUUAGAUACCCGUGUAGUCC
Molecule: ribosomal RNA, 426 nt
Filed under: uncultured bacterium
Lineage: Bacteria
Description: bacterial SSU rRNA
Rfam family: Bacterial small subunit ribosomal RNA
Source: RNAcentral